RNAcentral lists this ribosomal RNA (497 nucleotides) under uncultured bacterium. Its description in RNAcentral is "partial 16S ribosomal RNA". It matches the Rfam family "Bacterial small subunit ribosomal RNA", at positions 28 to 507 of the family's 1533-position model. The record is from RNAcentral.
GAUGAACGCUGGCGGCGUGCCUAAUACAUGCAAGUCGAGCGAACAGAUGAGGAGCUUGCUCCUCUGACGUUAGCGGCGGACGGGUGAGUAACACGUGGAUAACCUACCUAUAAGACUGGGAUAACUUCGGGAAACCGGAGCUAAUACCGGAUAAUAUAUUGAACCGCAUGGUUCAAUAGUGAAAGACGGUUUUGCUGUCACUUAUAGAUGGAACCGCGCCGCAUUAGCUAGUUGGUAAGGUAACGGCUUACCAAGGCAACGAUGCGUAGCCGACCUGAGAGGGUGAUCGGCCACACUGGAACUGUGACACGGUCCAGACUCCUACGGGAGGCAGCAGUAGGGAAUCUUCCGCAAUGGGCGAAAGCCUGACGGAGCAACGCCGCGUGAGUGAUGAAGGUCUUCGGAUCGUAAAACUCUGUUAUUAGGGAAGAACAAAUGUGUAAGUAACUAUGCACGUCUUGACGGUACCUAAUCAGAAAGCCACGGCUAACUACGUG